This 470-nucleotide ribosomal RNA is filed under the name Triops granarius. RNAcentral's name for it is "partial 16S ribosomal RNA". It matches the Rfam family "Bacterial large subunit ribosomal RNA", at positions 1911 to 2597 of the family's 2925-position model. The record is from RNAcentral. Lineage: Eukaryota; Metazoa; Arthropoda; Branchiopoda; Notostraca; Triopsidae.
UAUGAAUAUUUUAAAUGGCCGCGGUAUUUUGACCGUGCGAAGGUAGCAUAAUCAUUAGUCUUUUAAUUGAAGGCUGGUAUGAAUGGCUGGACGAGAAAAUUUCUGUCUCUGUUAUAAUAUUUGAAUUUUAUUUUUAAGUGAAAAAGCUUAAAUUUUUUUGAGGGACGAUAAGACCCUAUGGAUCUUUAUAAUAAUAGAUAAUAAAAAGUUUGGGUGUGACAGCUUAUUAUUUUAAAUUAUUGGGUUGGGGCGACUAGAAGAAAAAGAUAUCUCUUCUUAAAUAAUAUACUAUUAGUAGAAGUAAAUUGACCCUGAAUUUUGGUUUAAAAGACUAAGUUACCCUAGGGAUAACAGCGUAAUCUUUUUGGAGAGUUCAUAUCGAUGAAAAGGUUUGCGACCUCGAUGUUGGAUUAAGAGAUCCUUACGGCGUAGCCGUUGUAAAGGAAAGUCUGUUCGACUUUUAAAUUCUU